Long non-coding RNA from Photinus pyralis (common eastern firefly), 969 nucleotides. RefSeq lists it as uncharacterized. The record is from RefSeq and is a predicted model, not a curated record. The transcript is spliced from 3 exons. Lineage: Eukaryota; Metazoa; Arthropoda; Insecta; Coleoptera; Lampyridae.
AUUCGAAUGGUGUAUCCAAGAUAUAUAGAGACUGGUAGGCGCGCUUAUACCUGUAAAAUUUGACGCCAAAUCCGGCGCUAGGUAAACUCAAUCCAUAGAUGGCGCCAGGGUGAUCAGUGUACUUCAAAUGAAUGUCAUUUAAAUUGUUUUAGGUUAUGAUGUUAUGUACAAAAAUUUUUUACUUAGCGACUUGGUGUGGUUUGGCAUCUACAGUGUGUUAUACCUAGUUAUUGUUGCAAACAAUUUCGAGCAUUGAGGGGUUCCACUAAAAAGGAUGCUCGUUAUCACAGUAAAUAGUAGCGCAAUACCUGCAUUACAGACUUCUUACCCCGUCUAGCUGUCGGAGCUUGUACUGGAUCAAGCGAAGUCAACAAGUCAUUGAUCAAUGUAAACCAUAUGUGAACAAACCAGGAGCCGCCCUUCUUAUACCUAUUAAGAUAAGCAUCAAAUGACCCUCACCUACACAAUCUACGGUGUAAGCAAUCAUGCCGAGAGCUGUAAGAACCUCUGACACAAAAUCAUUAUUGCCCGUUUGAUUAGCGAGAUUCUCGGCUGCUGAGAUGGGGAUUGAAGGAACUGGCAAAAGUCUACAUUAUUACUGUUAAGAUGGAAGGAGUGUGGCUUAUCCUAACCUUAGUCAUCUUCCCAUUUAACGCCUCUGCAAAACGACCAACUUCGGACUUCAGAAGAAUGACAGAUCACUGCGUAGGCAACGACGUGGAAUUGUAUUAGGUGUCGAUGCUAACGAUGUGUGGGGAAACACAACUACACUACACUUCUGCAGUCUGCACAGCUUCCUUGCCUUGGGUCUCAUGCCGAGUACAAUUACUUAGUGGUCGCUCUCCUACUUUCCAUGGAAAUUUAAAAUACAGAUGCGUUAAAACAUAGACCCUUUUUCCAUAUUAUUAUCAGGGAAACUGCCUGUUACAUUUUUUACAAAUAUUUACAAAUAAAUUUUCUAUAAACAAC